UGACAUUGAUUCGUUCGAAAUUUACACUCUCGGGGCAUAAUAGAACAAUAUAAUUAGUUUUUACUCUUUGUUCGAUAGAAUGAGAAAAAAAACUCCUUGCAAAUUUAUACUGUUAGGGCGCAACUGAGUAGUCUAAUGUUGUUCCGGUUUUGGUUCUUGUGAACGUUGACAUCGAUUCGUUCCAAUAUUACACUCUCGGGGCAUAAUAGAACAAUAUAAUUAGUUUUUAAUCUUUGUUUAAUUUAAUGAGAAAAAGUACUCGUCGCAAAGUUAUAUUGUUACGGCGCAACUGAGUGUCUAAUGUUGUUCCUGUUUUGGUUCUAAUGAACGUUGACAUCGAUUCGUUCGAAAUCUACAUUCUCGGGGUAUAAUAGAACAAUAUAAUUAGAUUUUACACAUUGUUCGAUUGAAUGAGAAAAAGUACUCGUUGCAAAGUUAUAUCGUUACGGCGCAACUGAGUUGUCUAAUGUUGUUCCGGUUUUGGUUCUUGUGAACAUUGAUAUCGAUUCGUUCGAAAUUACACUCUCGGGGCAUCAUAUAACAAUAUAAUUAGCUUUUUCUCUUUUUUCGAUAGAAUGAGAAAAAGUACUCGUUGCAAAGUUAUAUUGUUAUGGCGCAACUUAGUCUAAUGUUGUUCCGGUUUUGGUUCUUGUGAACGUUGACAUCGAUUCGAUCGAAAUUUGUACUCUCGGGGCAUAAUAGAACAAUAUAAUUAGCACUUACUCUUUGUUCGAUAGAAUGAGAAAAAGUACUCGUUGCAAAUUUAUACUGUUAGGGCGCAACAUAGUAGUCUACUGUUGUUUUGGUUUUGGUUCUUGUGAACGUUGAGAUCGAUUCGUUCUACUAUUAAACUCUCAGGGCAUAAUAGAAAAAGUACUUUUUGCAAAGUUAUACUGUUAGGGCGCAAUUGAGUUUUCUUAUGUUGUUCCGGUUUUGGUUCUUGUGAACGUUGACAUCGAUUCGUUCGAAAUUUACACUCUCGGGGCAUAAUAGAACAAUAUAAUUAGCAUUUACUCUUUGUUCGAUAGAAUGAGAAAAAGUGCUCGUUGCAAAUUUAUACUGUUAGGGCGCAACAUAGUAGUCUAAUGUUGUUCUGGUUUUGGUUCUUGUGAACGUUGACAUCGAUUCGUUCUAAUAUUAAACUCUCAGGGCAAAAUAGAACAAUAUAAUUAGGUUUUACUCUUUGUUUGAUUAAAAGAGAAAAAGUACUCGUUGCAAAGUUAUACAGUUAGGGCGUAACUGUGUAGUUUAAUGUUGUUCCGGUUUUGGUUCUUGUGAAUGUUGACAUCGAUUCGAUCGAAAUUUGCACUCUCGGGGCAUAAUAGAACUAUAUAAUUAGAUUUUACUCUUUGUUUGAUUGAAUGAGAAAAGUAUUUGUUGCAAUGUUAUACUGUUAGGGCGCAAGUGAGUAGUCUAAAGUUGUUCCGAUUUUGGUUCUUGUGAACGUUGACAACGAUUCGUACGAAAUUUACACUCUGGGGCAUAAUAAAACAAGAUAAUUAGGUUUUAGACUUUGUUUGAUUGAAUGAGAAAAAGUACUUGUUGCAAAGUUAUACUGUUAGGGCGCAAAUGAGUUGUCUUAUGUCAUUCCGGUUUUGGUUUCUUGUGAACGUUGACAUCGAUUCGUUCGAAAUUUACGCUCUCGGGGCAUAAUUGAACAAGAUAAUUCGGUUUUACUCUUCGUUCGAUUGAAUGAGAAAAAGUACUCGUUACAAAGUUAUACAGUCAGGGCGCAACUUAGUAGUCUAAUGUUCUUUCGGUUUUGGUUCUUGUGAACGUUGACAUCGAUUCGUUCGAAAUUUACACUCUCGGGGCAUAAUAGAACAAUAUAAUUAGCUUUUACUCUUUGUUCGAUAGAAUGAGAAAAAGUACUUGUUGCAAGUGUAUGUAGGGCUCGUAACAGAGUUUCUUAUGUUGUUCCGGUUUUGGUUUUGUGACGUUCAAUCGAUAGUAUCGAUUUACACUUCGGGGCAUAAAGACAAUAUAAUAGCAGUUUACUCUGUUGUUCAGAUAGAAUGAGAAAAAGUACUCUUUGCAAUUUUAUGUUUAGGUCGCAACAGCGUAGUCCUAAUGUUGUUGUUAUAGCUUUUGUUUUAGGUGAGCGUUGACAUCGAUUGUUCCAAUAUUAUUACUCCGAUGGGCAUAAUAGACAACUAUAAUUUGUUUUACUCUCGAUGCAGUUUAUGGAAAUGUACUGUUACAUUGGUUAUUAAAGUUGGUGCGCAAGUGUGUAGUUAAUGUUGUUCCGUUUUAUGUUUUGUGACAUGAAUACAUCGAUUCGAUGAAAUUUUGCACACUCAGGGCCCCUAAUAGAACAAUUGAAUAAGGUUUUCGUUUUGUUUCGAUAUUGAAUGAGAAAAAGUACUUGUUGCCAAAGUUAUUACUAGUUUAGGCGGCAACUGAGUAGUCUAUGUGUGUUCCGAUUUUGGUUCUUGUGAACGGUGAUAUCGAUUCGUUUCGAAGUUUCACUCUCGGGGUGAAUAAGAACAAGAUAAUUAGUUUUAUCUUGUUUCGAGUCGAAUGAGGAAAAGUAUCGUUUGCAAAGUUCUACUGGUGUAGGGCGCCCAACUUAGUUGUCUAUGUUGUUAUUUCGGGUUUUGGUUCUGUGAACGUUGACAUCGAUUCUGUUCGAAAUUUCACUCGUGCCGGCAUAAUUAGGUAAAGAUAUAUUAGCCCUUUAAUUUUCGUUCUCAGAUUAGGAAAUGAGAAAAAGUAUUGCUUGCAGAUUUAACGUCAUUUAGGACGCAACAGAGUGUUAAUGUUGUUUGGUUUUGGUUCUGUGAACGUUGCAUCGAUUCGGUCGAACUUUGUCUCUCGUGAUAAGUAGAACAAAUUAAUUACUGUUUACUCUUUGUUCGAUUUGAUGAGAAAAAUACACGUUGCAAGUUUACUGUUACGGCGCAACUGAGUAGUUAAUGCUUGUUCUGGUUAUCUGGUUCUUGUGAAAAGUUGACAUCGAUUCGUUCGAAUUUACGAGUCUGUGUAUGAUAAUAGAAACAUAUAUUGUUUUUUAUCUUUGUUCGAUAGAGAAGUGAGAAAAAGUACUUGGUAGCAAGUUAUACUGGUUUAUGGGCGCAAGCGAGAUAGUUUAAUGUUGUUCGAUUUUGGAUUUUCGUGAAUUUCAACUCAGUUUCGUUCCUGAUUACACUCUUAGGGAUAAAGUACAAUUAUUAGCGGUUAUUUACUCUUCGUUUGCUUGAAUGGAAAAGUUAUCGUUGUGUUUUAAAAGUUAUUACAGUUAGGUUGCGCACUAUGAAGUUUAAUGUUGUACCGGUUUGGGUUCGUAAGUGACGUGACAUGAGUUCGAUCGAUUCUUGCACGUCUCGGGGGCAUUAAUAGAAACAAUUAAUUAGCUUUUUAUCUUGUUCGAUUAGGAUCAGAAAAGUAUUUGUUGCAAUUUAAAACUGUUACGGAUCACAAUGAGUUAGCUUAAUGUUGUUAUGGGUUUUGUUUUGUGAACGAUGAAUCGAUCAUUCGCUCGAAGAUUGUGUUUCUCUCGGGGCAUAAUAGAACAUAUUAUUAGCUUUUUACUCUUUGUUCGAUUGAUGAGAAACAAUACAGUUGCGAAAUGUUAUACUGUUACGCGCAAUGAGAGUAGUUAAUUUGUUUAGGUUUGGUUCUUGUGAAAGUGUAAUCGAUUCGUUUUCGAAUUUAACGUCUGUUGAUAUUAUAAGACAAAAUAGUUUUUACUUUUGUUCGGAUAGGUGAGAACAGAUACUUGUUGAAGUUAUACUGUUUAGCGGCGCACGAGUAGUUAAUGUUUGUUCCGGUUUUGAGUUCUUAGUGGUGAACUUCGACUCGUUUCUUCCUAUACACUCUUGGGGGCAUAAUUUGAACAAUAUAUUAGGUUUUUACUCUUCGUUUGCUUGAAUGAGGAAAAGUAUCUUUUGUAAAGUUAUACAGUUAAGGGACGCCAACUAUGCAGUUUAAUGUUGUUUCGGUUUGGUUAGUCACAAAACGUGACUUUGACAUCGCAGUCGAUUCGAAAUUUGCACAACUUCUUGGGGCAUAAUUUGAACAAUAUAAUUAGGGUUUUACUAGUUUUGUUCGAUUUGAAUGAGAAAAUGUACUUGCUUGCAAAUUUCAUACUGUUAUGGGACCGCAAAGAGUAUUAGGUAUAAUGUUGUUCCGAUUUUGGUUCUUUGUGACAGAUUGACAUCGCGAUGCGUUCAAUAUUAAACUUCUCGGGCGCAUAAUAGAAAUAUUUAUUAGGUUUACUCUUGUUUGAUUUUUAAUGAGAAAUUACACGUUGCAAGUUAUACUGUUACGGCGCAACUGUGUAGUUUAUGUUGUUCGGUUUUGCGUUUUUUUGAAGUUGACACGUUCGUAUCGAAAUUUACAUCGGGAUAUAAUAGAACAAUAUAAUUGUUUUUACUCUUAGUUUUCGAUAGGCUGAGGCAAAAGAGUAUUGUUGCAAGUUAUAAUCGUUAGCGCAACGAGUAGGUUUAAUUUGUUCGAUUUGGGUUCUUGUGAACUUGACAUCGUUUCGUUCCAUAUUACACUCUCGGGGCGAUUAAAAAAAUAAAAAUAAACAAUAUACAAAUAUAAUAUAAAAUAAUAAAUAAAUAAUAUCAAUUUAAAAUAUAUAAUAAAUAAAUAAAAAUAUAUAAAAAACAAUAAAUAAUAAAAAAUAAAUAAACAUAAAUACAAAUUAAAUAAAAAAAAAUAUACACGAAUAUAAUAAGAUCAACCUAACACAACAUAAAAAAUUAAAAUAGAACUUAUACAUAAAUCACCGAAUCAUAUAAUUAGUUUUUACUAUUUGUUUGUUUGAAUGAAGAAAAAGUUACUCGUGCAAUGUUGUACGUUUAGGGCGCAAUAGAGAGGUCUAUGUUGUUCCGGUUUUAGUUCUUGUGAACGUUGACUCGAUUCGUUCGAAAUUUGCACUCUCGGGGCGUAAUAGAACAAGAUAAUUAGUUUUACUCUUUAUUCAAUUUGAAUGAGAAAGUAACUCGAUUGCCAAAGCCUAUAUGUUAGGGCGCAAACUUAGUGAAUAGUCUAUGUUGUUCUCGGUUUUGUCUACUUGGAACGCCUGACAUCGAUUGUUUUGAAAAUUUAUACUCUCGGCAAGGCAUUACGUUAGAACAUGAUAAUUGCAUUUACUCUUUGUUCGAUGAAUGAGGAAAACUACUCGUUGCAAUUUAAAUGUAGAGCGCAAAUCAGCAUAGUGUUAAUGUUGUUUGUAGUUUGAGUUUUUUGCGACGUUGACAUCGAUCGCCUCCAAUAUAAACUUCGGAGGCUAAUAGAAACAAAUAUUAUUAGGGUUUUACUCUUGCGUUUGAUUGUAUGAGAAAAGUACACGUCGGCAAGUUACUGUUACGCGCGCAACUGAGGUAGCUAAUGUUGUUCCGUUUUGGUUCCUGUUGAGUGGACAUCGAUUCAUUCGAAAUUUACCUAUCGGAUUAUCAAAAGAACAUAUAAUUUGAUUUUACUCUUUGUUUCGAUAUAGAGUGAAGAAAAAAGUACUUGUUGCAAAGUUUUAUGUUAGGGCGAACGAGUGUCUAUGUUUGGUAUCGAUUUUGUUUUGUAAACUAUUGACAUCGUUUUCGUUCAAAUUAUUACACUUCGGGGCAUAACUUAGAACCUAUAUUUACGGUUUUUACUCUUUGUUUGUGUUGAAUGAGAAAAAAUACUGUUGCAAGUUAGAUGUUAGGGGGAACUGAGUGGUCUUUGUUGUUCCGUUAUGGUUUCUUUGAAUGUUGACAUCUGAUUCGUUCGAAAUUUACACUCUCGGGCAUUAUAGAACAAUUAUCGCAUCAUCUUGUUGAUAGAAUGCAAACGCUCUCUCUCUCGCCAAAGUUAUUCUUUUAGGGCGCAACUGAGUUGUCUUAUUUUGUUCCGAUUUUUGGUUCUUUGUGAUACGUUUGAGAUCGAUCGUUCGAAAAAAUUUAUUCUCUCGGGGAAUAAUAGAAUAAUAUAAUUAGAUUACUUUUGUUCGAUAGAUGAGAAACAAGAAUGCCGUUUGAAAAUUUAACUGUUAGGGCGCCAACAGAGUAGUAUAAUGUUGUUCUGGUUUUGGUUCUUGUGAACGUUGACAUCGAUUCGCUCCAAUAUUAAACUCUCGGGCAUAUAGAACAAUAUAAUUAGGUUUUACUUUCCGAUUGAUUGAAUGGAAAGUUCGUACUCGUAUGCCAAGUGUAUAAGUUAGGCGUGAACUGUGUAUGUUAAUAUUGUUCCGGUUUUGGUUCUUGUGAACGUUCACAUCGAUUCGUUCGAAAUUUACACUCUCGGGGCAUAACAGAACAAUAUAAUUAGCAUUUACUCUUUGUUCGAUAGAAUGAGAAAAAGUACUCUUUGCAAAUUUAUACUGUUAGGUCGCAACAGAGUAGUCUAAUGUUGUUCUAGUUUUGGUUCUUGUGAACGUUGACAUCGAUUCGUUCCAAUAUUAUACUCCGAGGGCAUAAUAGAACAAUAUAAUUAUGUUUUACUCUUCGAUUGAUUUAAUGAGAAAAUGUACUCGUUACAAUGUUAUACAGUUAGGGCGCAAUUGUGUAGUUUAAUGUUGUUCCGGUUUUGGUUUUUGUGACAUUGACAUCGAUUCGAUCGAAAUUUGCACACUCGGUGCAUAAUAGAACAAUAUAAUUAGGUUUUACUCUUUGUUCGAUUGAAUGAGAAAAAGUACUUGUUGCAAAGUUAUACUGUUAGCGCGCAACUGAGUAGUCUAAUGUUGUUCCGAUUUUGGUUCUUGUGAACGUUGAUAUCGAUUCGUUCGAAAUUUUCACUCUCGGGGCAUAAUAGAACAAGAUAAUUAAGUUUUACUCUUUGUUCGAUCGAAUGAGAAAAAGUACUCGUUGCAAAGUUCUACUGUUAGGGCGCAACUUAGUAGUCUAAUGUUGUUUCGGUUUUGGUUCUUGUGAACGUUGACAUCGAUUCGUUCGAAAUUUACACUCUCGGGGCAUAAUAGAACAAUAUAAUUAGCCUUUACUCUUUGUUCGAUAGAAUGAGAAAAAGUACUUGUUGCAAAUUUAAACUGUUAGGACGCAACAGAGUAGUCUAAUGUUGUUCUGGUUUUGGUUCUUGUGAACGAUGACAUCGAUUCGGUCGAAAUUUGUACUCUCGGGGCAUAAUAGAACAAUAUAAUUAGCUUUUACUCUUUGUUCGAUUGAUGAGAAAAAAUACACGUUGCAAAGUUAUACUGUUACGGCGCAACUGAGUAGUCUAAUGUUGUUCUGGUUUUGGUUCUUGUGAAAGUUGACAUCGAUUCGUUCGAAAUUUACAGUCUCGUGAUAUAAUAGAACAAUAUAAUUAGUUUUUACUCUUUGUUCGAUAGAGUGAGAAAAAGUACUUGUUGCAAAGUUAUACUGUUAGGGCGCAACCGAGUAGUCUAAUGUUGUUUCGAUUUUGGUUCUUGUGAAUUUCAACAUCGUUUCGUUCCACUAUUACACUCUUAGGGCAUAAUAGUACAAUAUAAUUAGGUUUUUACUCUUCGUUUGCUUGAAUGAGAAAAAGUACUCGUUGUAAAGUUAUACAGUUAGGGCGCAACUAUGAAGUUUAAUGUUGUUCCGGUUUGGGUUCGUGUGAACGUUGACAUCGAGUCGAUCGAAAUUUGCACUCUCGGGGCAUAAUAGAACAAUAUAAUUAGCUUUUACUCUUUGUUCGAUAGAAUCAGAAAAAGUAUUUGUUGCAAAUUUAAACUGUUAGGACACAACAGAGUAGUCUAAUGUUGUUCUGGUUUUGGUUCUUGUGAACGAUGACAUCGAUUCGCUCGAAAUUUGUUCUCUCGGGGCAUAAUAGAACAAUAUUAUUAGCUUUUACUCUUUGUUCGAUUGAAUGAGAAAAAAUACACGUUGCAAAGUUAUACUGUUACGGCGCAACUGAGUAGUCUAAUGUUGUUCUGGUUUUGGUUCUU
RNAcentral lists this long non-coding RNA (7849 nucleotides) under Ananas comosus (pineapple). Its description in RNAcentral is "long non-coding RNA (ACOM_LNC033039)". The record is from RNAcentral. Lineage: Eukaryota; Viridiplantae; Streptophyta; Magnoliopsida; Poales; Bromeliaceae.